AUACUGAGGGUGCGAGCGUUAAUCGGAAUUACUGGGCGUAAAGCGCGCGUAGGCGGUUUGUCAAGUCAGAUGUGAAAGCCCUGGGCUCAACCUGGGAACUGCAUUUGAAACUGGCAAACUAGAGUUUGGUAGAGGGUGACGGAAUUCCAGGUGUAGCGGUGAAAUGCGUAGAUAUCUGGAGGAACAUCAGUGGCGAAGGCGGUUGCCUGGACCAAAACUGACGCUGAGGUGCGAAAGCGUGGGGAGCAAACAGGAUUAGAUACCCCAGUAGUCC
Molecule: ribosomal RNA, 274 nt
Filed under: uncultured bacterium
Lineage: Bacteria
Description: partial 16S ribosomal RNA
Rfam family: Bacterial small subunit ribosomal RNA
Source: RNAcentral